CUCUUCACCAGGUGCCCACAAACGAUGCACUCAUGCUGGCGGCCACCGCGCGGACAAUCGCCAGGCGAAGAGCUAAAUAAGUCCGACUCCAAACACUCCCCACACACGGCAAAACUACGGAUCACAGGUCUCCGGGCAGAGAAAGGCUGUGGCGAAGUUUUACAAGUUUCCACCGAUCCAGUGGGGGCUCCGGAGAAGCUCCCUUGACGGCGGCUCAUUAGACACCCAGCUCGCGCGAGCAUUGUGGUUUUAAGUUGUCGGGAGGAGCCCAGGCAUGGGGAAAGGGAUUCUGGUGCCCCGGACUCAGCCAGUCACACUGUGCGUCCGGCAUGUGAAGGAACCGCACUGGAAAAGUGGACCAGUGGUGCCAGCAGCGACCAGGAUUAAACGUCUAGCGCAGUCUGGAUAAAGCUCCCUUAAAGGUCCUACAGUUUGGGAAGAUUGUCUUCCAUCAUCCCGUCUGUUGUCUUUGCGCAAAGCUUUGAGACUGGGAUAUCCUACCAAGCUGAGCUGACUGCUGAUUUCCAUGGGAUGUUGAGACCAGCGUGGGCCUAGGGACUGACAUGACAUUGGCAGGCAACUCAGACUCCUCAACUUAGUUUAUUAACUUUGACCCUCCUCAUUAAAAUUUAAUGUGGAUAAAAGAUAUUAAACAAGUUAACGUCCUUUCUUUUCUCACCCAUCCUCACAGGUAAAGAUACCUAGUGAGCAGAUAAAUGAUCAAAAACCCAGCAAGAGUGAGGCACUAGCAGUGUGGGGCCUUCAUUAGGCAAAGGAACAAAAAAUCCGCCUGUUAAUUUUGCAGUUAACAAUUAGCAGAUGAAUUUAAGCAUAUCGAGCACAGGGCAUUUCCUAACUCGAAACAUAUUUCCGAACUGAAGCAGCCUUUGGUGGAGGGGGGCUAGUGAUGUAUCACUUUGGUGAAUCUGUUAGUUGAGAGUUGAUCCUUCUUUUGCUCUGAAGAGUAAACCCCUAAUCCAGCAUUUUAUAACUAAUGUCACAAGGAAGCUCCAGUAUGACCAUAUGAAUCAUAAUCAUACUGACAAGUGUUGCUAAUUGAAACAUUAAAAAAAAAUUGAGAUUCAAAAGUUUGCUUUUUCUCUGAAAAUAAUUUAUCCUGGAUUUAGAACACUACUGAUUUUUCCUGUUAGUUUGUUUGGGUAACACAUGAUUUCAUUUGCUCAGGAACCACAAUUGUACUUUAAAAUGUUAAGUUCUUUGAGUUAUUAUGGGUGUUAACACUGUGCAUACACAUUUAAAAAUCUUUAUGAAUAGUCUGAUUUUUCUACCAUAAAUGGAUU
This is a long non-coding RNA of Leopardus geoffroyi (Geoffroy's cat), 1301 nucleotides long. RefSeq lists it as uncharacterized. The record is from RefSeq and is a predicted model, not a curated record. NCBI's taxonomy places the organism in Eukaryota, Metazoa, Chordata, Mammalia, Carnivora, Felidae. The transcript is spliced from 2 exons.